Molecule: transfer RNA, 66 nt
Filed under: Symplocodes ridleyi
Lineage: Eukaryota; Metazoa; Arthropoda; Insecta; Blattodea; Blattellidae
Description: tRNA-Met
Source: RNAcentral
AGAAAAGUAAGCUAAAUAUUAAGCUAAUGGGUUCAUACCCCAUCUAUGGAGACUCUCCCUUCUCUA